This 505-nucleotide ribosomal RNA is filed under the name uncultured bacterium. RNAcentral describes it as "partial 16S ribosomal RNA". It matches the Rfam family "Bacterial small subunit ribosomal RNA", at positions 28 to 507 of the family's 1533-position model. The record is from RNAcentral.
GACGAACGCUGGCGGCGUGCCUAAUACAUGCAAGUAGAACGCACAGUUUAUACCGUAGCUUGCUACACCAUAGACUGUGAGUUGCGAACGGGUGAGUAACGCGUAGGUAACCUGCCUGGUAGCGGGGGAUAACUAUUGGAAACGAUAGCUAAUACCGCAUAAUAUUGAUUAUUGCAUGAUAAUUAAUUGAAAGGUGCAAUUGCACCACUACCAGAUGGACCUGCGUUGUAUUAGCUAGUAGGUGAGGUAACGGCUCACCUAGGCGACGAUACAUAGCCGACCUGAGAGGGUGAUCGGCCACACUGGGACGGAGACACGGCCCAGACUCCUACGGGAGGCAGCAGUAGGGAAUCUUCGGCAAUGGACGAAAGUCUGACCGAGCAACGCCGCGGGAGUGAAGAAGGUUGUCGGAUCGUAAAGCUCGGUUGUAAGAGAAGAACGGGUGUGAGAGUGGAAAGUUCACACUGUGACGGUAUCUUACCAGAAAGGGACGGCUAACUACGUG